UACGAGAGGCCCAAACGUUAUUCGGAAUUACUGGGCUUAAAGAGUUCGUAGGCGGCAUGAAAAGUAGGGUGUGAAAGCCCUCGGCUUAACCGAGGAAUUGCGCUCUAAACUGUCGUGCUAGAGGAAGCUAGAGGUGAGCGGAACUGAUGGUGGAGCGGUGAAAUGCGCAGAUAUCGGGAGGAACACCAAUUGCGAAGGCAGCUCGCUGGGACGUCACUGACGCUGAGACGCGAAAGCGUGGGGAGCAAACAGG
Molecule: ribosomal RNA, 253 nt
Filed under: uncultured bacterium
Lineage: Bacteria
Description: partial 16S ribosomal RNA
Rfam family: Bacterial small subunit ribosomal RNA
Source: RNAcentral